AUGCGUAUGACACACCAUGGUUUUAUUCACAUUGACGGUGUUUUGUUGUCUUGUUUUAUCCGAUUUUCAUUUCAAACUGUAAAUAAACAACCCAAACUUGUGUAAAAUUCAGCUGCCGGAGUAUUAACUGAUUCGUAAAAAUACUAAAUGGAGUUCAAUAAGGAUGAGUACGAGGAGGAGGAGUAUUUGGAAGAGCCGGGAGACAUGGAUUCUGAUCAUCACGAUAAUGAAUGGUUUCCUCAACAACAAACACUCUCUCCGCAGCCUUUGUGUUCUCAGGACCCGUUACCGAUUCCAGAUGAUUUGAGUGAAGUGAACCAUUUUCUCCCCGUCGAUGGUUCCGACGAUGACGACCAUUCAUGUUUUAAUUGCUCGAUAGUAUCCGAUGGCGCUGCGGAGAACUAUUUGUACUUUUUCAAAGCAAGAAUGUUCCGUCGGCUUUAUCGAGGUCAGAUGCGCCCAAGAGAAGUGGGAACUAAGAAUGUUUUUGGAGAUUCUGUUGAGGACGUAAUUAAAUGCAUUUGGAAGUUGUCUGUAGCGCACCCAAGGAACAAUUGGUAGCUUUUAAGAUACUUACGU
Aedes aegypti (yellow fever mosquito) is the source of this 579-nucleotide long non-coding RNA. RefSeq lists it as uncharacterized. The record is from RefSeq and is a predicted model, not a curated record. The transcript is spliced from 2 exons. NCBI's taxonomy places the organism in Eukaryota, Metazoa, Arthropoda, Insecta, Diptera, Culicidae.